UGCCCUGCUGCCCUGCACCUCAGAGGGUUUUCUGGGGGUGGGGUGAGCUAGGGAAAGCCUGGACCUCAGUGAGGCUCGUGACUAGCCCUGGGUUUGCUCAGCCCCUCUGAUGCUCAGAUCUGGCCAGUGAUCUGGCUGAAGGGAUCGCUAGGACCAAUCACAGCCUUGAGCUGAACAAAUAUUGGCAGCACGUCAGCCAUAUGCCCCAACUGCACAGUCAGGGAAGAAGGGCUGCUGGUCUAGUUGGGGCCCCGGGUGAGUGCACAUGAGCCCAUAGAGUCAGGGACUAUGAUGACUGAUUGAAGGGAGUGGGGUGUGGGGUUCCAAGGUGGGAGGGAGCCCCUUGGUCGAAGAUCGGGGAGACUUCUUGGAUGAAGUGGCUUCAGGGAACAGAUUUUUUUUUUUUUCCAACACUCACGGCUCGGGAACUUCCAUGUGCUGUGGGCUCAGCCAAAAAAAAGGACGAAAGGCAAAGAGAAAAUAAGACGGGGUCAUGUUCUUGGCAUAGUAAAUGCAAGUGUGUGUGAUGAAGUGUGAUGCAUGCACACACGCCCAUACAUGUGCACACCUGUGUACAUAGGUGUGUGUACGUGUACGCGCGUGUGCCUGUAGGUGCAUUUGGGUGCGGUCUUGGCUGACGGGCCGAGGUCUGGACUCUGCAGGCAGUGGGGAGCCCUCACGGUCUUGUUUGAGGAAGCAGUGCCGUUGCUGCUGUGCUUUGUAAGUGGGUUGGGGGCAGUGUAGGGGCGGGAUUAGGAGGUAAAUUUGGGGGUGGGGUCCUGGUCUGAAGGUCAGAGCCCCGUGGUGGACACUGAGAGGAGCAGGUGUGGUCAGAGAGCCAGGGGGGAGCUCCUUUAGAUUUGGCAUCUGUUGGGUGGGCCGGGAGAGGGUGGUGGAGGUGUGGCUGGGAGGCCCCCAGGUGGGGAGGCCCUGACAGCGUGGGAUGGUGAAUUACUCAGGGUUACACAGACCCUCAGGGACUGAACUGAGCUUUGGCUACUGAACUCAGUGCCCAGCUGACCCCUGACCAUCAGGGUCAGGUGUCCCCAGCCU
This 1053-nucleotide long non-coding RNA is filed under the name Sus scrofa (pig). RNAcentral describes it as "lncRNA (ENSSSCG00015014756.1)". The record is from RNAcentral. Lineage: Eukaryota; Metazoa; Chordata; Mammalia; Artiodactyla; Suidae.